This 100-nucleotide non-coding RNA is filed under the name Planctomycetota bacterium. Its description in RNAcentral is "Planctomycetes bacterium c-di-GMP sequence". It matches the Rfam family "c-di-GMP-I-GGC riboswitch aptamer". The record is from RNAcentral. Lineage: Bacteria; Pseudomonadati; Planctomycetota.
CACGAUAAAGGCAAACCCUGAGUGAUCAGGGGACGCAAAGUAAAGGGUCUCUGGUAUCCUCGAAGAAGUUGCGAACUGAUAGACAACCUUACUGCCGAAG